UCCAGUCCCUUUCUUAACUAAUCCUGUCACUGUAAAAUCCUACAGUCAUUCUUCCACACAUAAAGGGAAAACGGACUCACUAGGAGGACCUAGACUCUUGCAGCUUGAACUGUUAACCAAUGGUGGAAACGCGAGGCUGCCGAAGUUGUGCCUGCCGAGCCAAUCGAGUGGAUGCGUGUGUCCCACAUGACUGUGUUUCCCCUGUCUUUCACAUGGGCAGUAUUUAGUUCAAUUCAGAACUGCAGAUAGUAUAGCCUGCACGGCAGCAAUGGGAUGUCUGAGCGUGAGCGGCUGGCUUCCGAGGGCCGCCACCAAGCCCGCGCAUACGUGUCUCCUGAGCUACCCUGGGAUUGUGCCCCUUGCCAUCCGCCCACCCUCGUCUCUGCAGAAGGAGGCAGCGCGACCGGCACAGCGCAACAAAACAAAACUAGGCAUCACGACAAGCUGCAGACCAGCAAACGAAGCUAAGUGAGGGCAGUAUGACCAAUGUCUGCUGUGUCAGUUCCCCAGCAGUUGAAGCAUGUUAUCAGGUGUCCAAGACCUACAGCUUGCGGAGACUGGAAAGGAAGACAAAUAAGGUCGGAUCGAUGUCCUCAGAGGGCGGAGAAGGGUGGAGAAAAAGGACAAGAUUCAGACCGGACAUACGUACCAGGCAAGCAACCAUUCUUUCUGUAAUUCGGAACCUCUUACAGUUUGCACAGUGAACUUGUCUUUCCAUUUCUCUGAAGUAAUCAAGGGUCUGGAACACACUUUUCUAGCUUACACAGCAAAGGCCCAAGUGCAGGGCGGAUUCUCGAAUGUGCGACUAACCCACCUCCUCGUUUCCUUGGUCUUUUCCACUGCAUGUUCACAUAGCUAAUGAAACAGAAAAUCAGCUAUGUUCACAUGCAACUAAUACGAAUGAGUUUUCCUAAUGGAGAGAAUGGAACAUAAUUACAUGCUUUUUCCUAUAAUCCACUUAAGGUGAUAUCUCUCUGCCUGUCCCUCAUCAAUAUCUUGGCUCAGUGCACUCAGCCCAUAUAAAUGCAUUUUCUCAGUAAAGAGGUCUAAGGUUUGCUCUGCUAUUGACUCAUUUGUGGAAUUUGCACAAUGCUAUCUAAACAAAUGAUCCACAUUUCGUGAUUUCAUCCAAUUACCAAAGUUUGAAUGUAAAGCAAACUUAGUUGCCUAUUUGUUUUAAUUGCAUUUCAACAUUUUUCUUUUAAACAAAGCAGUCUUACAUUCUCUUCUCCCUAGAUACUUAUUUCUUUUCAGGCUACAUAUUCUCCACCCCUUUUGGACAUGCAAAACUACGAAGGACCAUGGAUUUUCACAACAGAGACAGCUGAUAUCUGAACAUUAGCAAGUCAGUAACUGGAGUCUAGCAUGAACUACAGUAAGAAAGAGCUUCAAGAUUUAGAUCCGAUUAGGCACUCAUAUUUCAUAUAUGAACCGAAUCUGAACCACAGGCAGAAGUCCAAACUGGAGUUUGAAACUUCUCUUACAUGCAGUACAUGUAAUUUGAAGACACAUUAAGCUCAUUGGGCAGUCACAGACCAAAGUGAAAGAGCAGCUGAAGCUAAAAGAGGUGGUGGAAGCAGAUUAGAACAUCUUCAUAAGGUGAACGGGAAGCUGAGGCAUCUAUCAACAGCCUAAGACUUGGAUGUUUGUUAAUGAUUUUAUAUUCAAUGUUAUUCAGUUGUAAUUACUACAAGGCAUGUCUACCUAGUUUAAAUGAGCCACAGGUGCUAGAACUAAAGAGUCUUAUGUUAAGCUAUUGUAUAACAUUAUUUGAAAGAUACAUUGCACUGAAUUUAACAAAUUUCUGUGCUAUUCUUGCACUCAGAGGGUGCUUUUCAGUGAAGCGCAAAAAAGCCUGGAAUUUCUGCUAAAAUUCCACUAAGUGUCAAGGCAGCAUGCAGUUUCAGGGUAAUGCACAGUUUUAAAAGACUAGUAGGUGAUUUUCAGCAGAGAAGAACUUUCACUAGCCCCUUCCCCCUUUCUUUUUCCCCAGUGAGCUCCUGUGUGCAGACAUCCUCCUGAAACAGAGCGCCUUGCAUGUGCAAGCACACACACACUACCCCUUGGCUGCCUGUGCUUGUGCCAACCUGUUUUAGUGCAGUGCAGCUAGUCUGAAAUUGUUUGCUCCAUAGGUCCUCAAGAAAAAUGCUGUCACGGGUUUGAGUGAAGCUGUUAUGGCAUCGCUAGUGCCUUCUUUCUAGAGGGCAGCUCUGCUGUUUUCUUCCACAUUAAGUUAGAUUUCCUGACAAAUACAAACCUCCCCACACAAAAAGUUAGCCAUGACCUUCCUCUCUGCUGUAUUCCCACGUGCCAAUAGAGUUGCAAUUUUGCCAUUAAUCAAAAUCUCAAAAAAAAAAAAAAAAAAAAAAAGGUAGGAUUCUGAUCCUAACCUUCAGGUACACUCCCCAAAACAGGUGCUUGAGAGCAAGCACUGGAUGGAAGGCAAUAGAAGAGGAAGGGGAGAAGUGAUAAAGGUAUUAAAGGAAUGGGGUACUGUGUGCUUUAAAACCCUUUGGCUCCAGCUUCUUAUUUUUGAUAUUCAGCAUGAGUUUGCCAUGACCACAGAAGCCUGCUCUCUUUUUACACUGAAUAAUUCCCAGCAUUUCUGUGUCACUACAGCUGAUAUACACAUAUUGAAGAUUUAGCUUUCUAACCUUACAAGUGGGGGCAGACAGAAGGAAGGGGAGAGCAAGAAAUACCAAUAAGCUUCCCAGCCUCUUUGCCUUUACAUUACUGCAUGAUACUUCUCUCCCUUUCUCUCCAAAUAUUUGAGGAAUCCACUUCCUCUGCAAGAGAGGGAGAAGAAGACUGAAAGAAGAUGAGAGAAGACUGACAUAUAUAGUUUGGUUACAAAAUUUUUAUUUUAUAAAUUUAGAAAAUAUAUGUAUUUCUCAAAUAAUUGGGAUGAAAUUGCAGCUCCAGAAAAGCCAGUGACCAGGAUUUCACACUCAGUCCUGUUAAGCUGUUUUUAUAUAUUAGAGAAAAGUCUAGAUCUUGGAAGCCAUUUGUCCUCAAUUUCCCUUCAAUUUUUAUGCUAGAAGAGGGGCAGAUUGCUAAAUAUUUUGGCUAUUCUUCCUUCUCCUUCCUCACUUCAUUCUGACUUACAUUACAUUAGCAGUGCUGCUAAUGGCAUAUGACAAUAAUACUGAGCUCUUGUGCAAUAUACUCAGACUAGACACCCCCCACCCCCCGUUUCCAGCUAAGCAUGAUCCACAUUUUACAACAGGAAAAGUUAGACCCAGAGACAUGAACAGACUGGUGACAUCUUUUCUUUGGUUAUAUCCUUCCCUCCAUCCCAUUCACUGCUUUACUCCUUUGUGAGUCUCACUCUGCCUCUUGUAGCCUUAGGGGACAGGAUUUGGAAUCUCAGACCAGGUUCUGUCAAUAGAAUGAGGUCAGCCAGCAGAUCCACGGGACAGGCGAGAUUAAAAUGUGUUUAUCCUGAGCCCAAGUGCAGGGCCCUAUUCAGACAGCUUUGCUGCCUGCUAGUUAUCAGGUUGAAUUGAAAACAAAAGUUAUAUUAAGAGACAGCAGGAUCAUUAUUUCUCCUUUCUGCCCCCUCCUCAAGUGCUUGAGGUCAUUUUCCACAACAGAAAUGAAAGCCUUCUUGGAUGUGUUUUUGUGCUAAACAGCAGUGGUUAAUUUCUUGCAACUAAUUAGUUAUUCAAGUGAAAGUAUAAUGAUCCUCCAGCAUGAUUGAAAGUGCUUCAACUGAGUUUCCUGCUAACAGCAUACUCCUAGAAAAGACGCAAUAAAUCAGCAGGGUUAUGGAAAUAUUUAAACAAAGCAAGUCCAUGACAGGAACCCAUUAAAGAUGUAGCCAUGUAAUAUUUAUGUACCUAGCUGACUUGUGCUUUUAACCUGGCACUUUCAGCUACAGCUUUUUAGCACCUGGGUCAUAUUCACUAAGAAUGAAAUUCACCCUAUCUGCUAAAAGCCAACAUAACGUCUUUGCAUUAGGUGUUCAACAGUAUAGGGUUCAUACAGGACCUAAGUGGUGCAGCCCUCCCACUGAAGGGAAUUUCAUCCAAAUUUCUCUAAAGAAAAAUGCCAUUAAAACACCUUUAAGCAACACAGGAAUGUGAGUCUGUGAACCACAAAUUCCCCAAUUACCAUCAGCAAUAAAAUCUGUAGGUAAGUAAGAAAGGUUUUAGAAAUCCAAAGGUCUUGAUGCAGAAACAGAACCCCUCAGAAACAAAGCUGCUCAGAGCAGCCCCCGUCACCUAUCAGUGUUUAGGUUAGGGCGUGGGGAUUGAGUCGAGGGGUUACUGAGAUGGUAAUAGCUGAUCUCUCAGCCAGAAACAUUUUUUAAAGGCACUGAUUGCAGAAAAUGUCAUCCACUCAUUCUAAAAAGGGGUUGUUCAUUACAGGCAAGGAGUUUAAACACACUAGUUACUGCAGAAAAGUAAAAUUCAGUUGUCUAGAAAAAAAUUUUGAUAUUGCUGAGUUUUCUGGAUGCCUCAGAUGUACAGUAUCUGGUCCUUAAAUAGCAAAAAGGAAGAGAGAUUUCCCUUUCUUCCAUUACAUUAAGUAGUGGGCAUGUGUUUAUCAUGUAUUUUUAAAAUAUACAUAAGCACAGGCAAAGCAAGGGGAGCAGCUUAAUAAACCCCACUUUCAGUGGCUACAUAUUCUCUCCCUCAUCCCAUUUACUCAUUUGCUUCUUUGCCAAACCACUAGUCCAUCUCCUACAGUUUUAAGAGACAGAAUCUGGAUUCUUAAACCAGCUUCAGGUGAUGUCCCAGACAUUGCUUUAUACUCUGACUUACCCUUCCUUACUACAGCAGAUGGCUGCGAAAAGGAAAACCUCACUGCUGCUGGGCUAGAGAAACAGCAGAACACAAUCUAGCCAAAGUAUGACUUGGAGGGAAAUUGGAGGAAGGAAUGUAGAGACCUGACUGCAAUUUCCUGGGACUCAGAGCAGGAAGAAAGCAAAAGAAAUAUAAGAAAUUGGCAGGAGAAAGGGAUUGAGAAGGACAGAAAAGGAGACUAAACCUCACUCCCCCUUUCCCACUAAAAUCAUGUUUGCUCUCACCACAAGUUUGUGGGCCAAUGACCACUUUCAACUUGCACUUUCUGCUGGAAAAAUAAAUUAGGAGUCCAGUUUAAUUUUAUCAAUAGAGAGUUUAAAGUGGUCACUGGAGCACAAAGUGCUUUUCAAAGGGCAGCUAAGCUCAACAGGGACAAGGAGGAGGAUGUUGGGACAGCCGAGAGAGUACAGACAGAUUAAAAGCGCUAAGGGUGCAUCUAUUUUCAACAAUAAAGAUAAGGCCUUUAUAACAUUUUCUGCAAUCCUCUUUGUUGUGAGCUGUUUUUUAGACAAACAUAUAUUACUUACAAAUACCUUUGCCAGGGUAUUUUGCAUGUGUGUGGUUUGGGGGAGGGGUUGUUUGUUUUGUUUUACACAUAAGCAGUAAAUGAACUAGGCAUUUGCUCUAUGAGCACAUGGGAUUAUGCUUAGCCUGUGCUGUAAAUCAUCAAAUCCAGUACAAGUAACUUUGUACUAGAAUAGUUUUUGCUAUGCUAAACAUUUAAACUGUGUACCCAAUUCUUCAAACUCUCAGUUCAUGCUGCAUUCAGAGCUUUAUAGGGUUGGGUCAGUAGCGUAUUUUUUCCGAGUGGUUGUUCCUAGAUAACAAUAACAAAAACCCAAAACUUCUGCUUACAUCAUUUAACAUGCCUAAAGGCUUAGCUGAAGACACUCGGAAUUAUGAAAAAAAAUUUUAUGCUUGUUUUUUCUUAAAAAUGGCCUCUACGGUUGAAAGUAAGAAGUUACACUAUCGGAAGGCAAAAAGAAUGCUUUGCCAACUCUGGACCAAAAACAAUUUUGUUUUUGAACUGGAGCAGUGACAGGCAUAAAAGGGUUUCAGGGAAUUUCAUCUUCUCCCUGAAGGCAGCUGUGAGCCUUUCGACUGCCCCAGACUGCAUGCUAUAGUGAUCGCAAGACAGGCAUGUUUUGCAAGUCCUAAGCAAUAGCCUUUAUUUAUCAGAGCAUGUGGAGUGUGACGGAUAGCAGGAAUGAGGCAAAUGAGGCAAUUCCACCAGUUCCUAUGAAAACUUCUCAUUUGAGCAGUACUUUCAGCUCUACUAGGUAGGUGUUACACUUGCUGUUUAGCAAAUGCCCCCCUACUACUUUCUUAACUUAAACUAAUAAUAUUAAUACUCAAGAAGAUUUCACCCAACAUUUACAGAGAGCCAUGAAAUGCUCAGUGUUCUUUCAAAUUGAAUUUACACAACUUCCAUAAAGUAAUAGUGAUGCUUUUAGGAAUAAAGAAGAGGCACAAUCUCUCAUCUAUGUCAAACUACACAUGAGAAUUAUCAAGUGUGUUAGCAACUUUCAUAAAUUUGCAUGCUGAAUUUUCAGAGGAAAGAAAAUGCAGGAAUACCAAAAUGCAUUCACAAAGGAGAUAAUGUGAUCAGUGAUUUACUUCCUUAAGUCUUCAGAAAUCAAUUCUAACCGAACACAGCCUGCCUUUCGUUGGUAUCCAGCACUGUGUAAUAAACAGCAUUUAAAAUGCCUUCCCCCUCCACACACCGCUCCUUUCUAGGUAGCAUGUAGAUACCAGACCUUGAUGCUUUACCCGGGAACAGAGACACAGGACUCAAGCAGCACCUCUUUUCCAGCGAGAGCACGCCUCCCCUUUGAGGGCCUGGGGCAGUGUGCCUCAGAUGCUAAUAGCUUGAGUUGUGUGCAAUAGCCCUGUAUUGUUUAUAUAGCACUUCACAUGUUCAAAGCACUAUCUGAGAUAUCAGCCAUCACCACACUUUUAUGAGGCUGUAAGUAUUACCCACUAAACUUUAAGCUUAAAUGACUUGCCAUUGAUCAAAAGUAACUUUGUGUGGCAAGACCAUAAUUAUUUGAAUUUAGUAAUUCUUGCAGUCUAUUCCUAAGGUGUCUCAGAAAAAGGAGGAUGGGAUAUUAAAGCCAGUUGUUACCGCACUGUGCUCUGCCAGACUGAGAUAUAGACACACAGAGAAUACCUAAGCCCAGUUGCACUCCAGCAGAAUUUUUUCUGUAUCAGACAACCUUUAGGAAGAAAGUAAAAGCCAAAAUAAAAUGAAACAUUGUAAAAGCCCUAAACAAGUUCCUCUGAAUUUGCAUGUAUAUAGUCACUGUGAAGAACAUAAGACAACCAUUGUAUUCACACUCAACACUGCUGCCAUCAGGUCUCAAAGCACAAAAAAAACAUGCAAACUAUAUAGAAAUAGUCCACAGGUCCUAAAUAAGAUGGAGAUCCUCACUCAUUUAUUCUGAAAGAGUUUUGUUUUGUUUUUUAGUUUAUUUUAAACCAAGAGGAUUAGCAGGCACCAAAGACCAGGCAAGUCAGAAGUAAUCAUCCCCUUUUCUGCAGCUAAAGAAAACUACAAGCUAUUGUCUAAGAUCUGAUUACAGUAGAAUUCAGACUAAUACCUCUUAGUCAUACAGAAUAUUUUUCUUUCCAUUUUUAUGCUGACUUCCAUCCCAUCAAAAUUCAGGUGCUUUGCUAACAUUUAUAAUGCAGCCUCAAAAUAUUAAGUCUCCCUUUCCAUGAGAUCAACAUUUAGUCUUAUUUUUCAAAUGAGAUUUGUAAGACAAAGGAGCAGAUAUUGAGAGACAACCAGUCUUGGUACCCAGGACAGCCAAAUAAAAGCUGGAAAUAAAAGCUAAACAAAUUGCAUCCUGAAGAAUAUGUUUUACAGUUAUUGGCUUUAGAACCCACAUGAUCACACAGGAAACACAGGGCAGCACCAAGACAAAAAAAAUGCAGGUCUCCACACAUAAUCCAGGUUCAUCAAAAAAGGAAAGAGUGCCUGUUUAAGGCUAUCAGAAGGAGGGAGAGGGUAAGAAAUUACCUUCAAAGGGAGUAACGUCUACAGGGAAUUACUAACAGAACCUCUUGUGCUUUGGUCAAGUUGAUCGUGGUGCUCUCAAUAUUCACCCCGGCUAUUGUAUCAUGUCCAUUAGACCUUUUUUGGGUACAGGCCACACAGAACUCUAUGCCAGACUGUGUUUGCAAUUUCUACUAUUUUGACUUCCAUUGCCUGAAAAGUUAGAUUACUGAAAUGUUUGCUAAAACAUUAAACUCUAAGCAUAACGUCAGUCGGUGAGCAUUGCUUCAUGGAUAUUAACGUAAAAACCAGUUACCAUACUCCAUCUACUGAUCUAAAGAACAGAUGUUUGCAUAUGAUUUAUGGACACUAAAAUAUGUGCAUAUCUUCCAUAAAUAGUAAUCUGUUCCAGUAACAAAAAGUGGAAUUGUAGUCCAAAAAGGCUGGGAAACUGCAGGCAGUAUUAGAAUUGAUUUGGCAACUUCUUGUCUUUAAAUAAAAAGACAAAGCUUGCAGAUCCAGUGCUACAGCCCUGUAUGCUGGAAAAGCUCUUACAGUUUCAAACAGGACUAACAACAUGAAGUAAUACCCAUAUAAAUUGCAUAGUCAGGCACAAUAGCUUAGAUAUAAAAGUCUGCUUAGAGGAAAAAAAAGUGUAAUUGAGAUUUGUUAAAUAAAAGUAAUAAUUUAUGUUGAAUGAGGUACAAUAAGUUUAUGUAGUAUGCAAAAAGCCAAUACUACCUUGGCUAUUUUUACGUUAAGUUUUGUUUUGGAAGAGUCUUUAAUAUCAAAAUUUAAGAAGACACUAGCCAGGUAAAAUUCUAAUGGGCAAAGCAUACCUUCCAACUCGGCAAUUAAAUUAUUUCUGGAGGUGCAAAUAUUUGACUGAAUUGAUAUCACCGCUACUCCUCACGUUUGCACUGCUCCUAAAUGAGCUCGGCUAAUCACCAUCCCAUCUCUUUGACUGGGUUGUAGACACGUAUUGUCAUCUGAUGGGUUUUGUUUCAAAAAGCAGAGUCAAAUUUUUGACAGCAGACUUGCUCAAAAACUUUGUCAAAGGCUACAAACACAUGACCUAACACAUUUGGGGAUGUGCUUUUUUUGGGCAAGUAGAACUUUGAGAAGACUCAACAAAUUGCAGAUUGUGAUAUGCAUGCAUGUCACCCAGGUUUUGAUUUGUUUUUUAAAAAAAAAAUCUUAUGGUUAUUAUUUCACUCCAAAAUGCUUUUCUGGUAUGCCAAGAUAUUUCCCACUCUUAUUUCAUUGGCAAUAAUGACAAUAAUUCUCUAUAACUUUAGAUUUCUUCACACCAGAAUGUAAGAAAAAGCAACCGUGUAGAAUGCAGAAUUUAAACAAGGCAAUCAUGAUUUUCUCUCCUGUCUCAGGCUGGCAUGCACUAGCACUUCAAGAUGUUACACAGCUGCUGCUCUUCUCCAGAGAUGGCUGUACUCCAGUAAAUGGUGAAAUAUUCCCUAACAUACUUUUUCCAGCAGAGGUUUAUAAAGAUGUUACCAUGUUUCCACAGGUUGAAGGCAAAAUGAAAACACUGCGAUUGUCUAGCUGGUUUCUCUAGAAACAUUGGUCUUAGAAUUACUGCAUUAGUAAUUAGGAGUCGAUCCCAUACCCCAAUGCACUGCGCACACAACUGGAGUUGGUGUUCACAGAACACGGCGAGUCUCUUCGAUCACAAUGCAGGUAACCCUGCAAGAGCAGCAUUCUGCUCUUGCCAUUUCUACCACCGCUACCACCAAGUGUUCACUGAAAGUGAACGCUAUUCAUUGUGUCAGAGAAAGGCCUUCCUCUUCACAACUGCACAGAAAUUUUACUUUCAGCAUAUAACUCAGAGACAUGCAAGAAUAAGCUGAAGCUCUAACAAGUCAGCUGGAUUUAAUUCCUUUUAGUAGAAGCACAUCACAAUGUGAAUGCUUAACGAGAUUUAUUAUUGCUGUUAAUUUAUUGCAGGUACAUGAAGAUUUGGCAUUUGAGAACACUUUAAUCAAAAAGAUGAAAAAAUAGAAAAGGUACUAAAAAACUAAUGACCGAUCAGUCUACUUCACUUUUUUCCAGAUGAAUCUCCAGGUGCCAGCUGGUGUAAAUGCAGAUUCCACUGACGUCAAUGGAGCUGUGUCAGUUUACACUAGCUGAGAAUCUGAUCCCAAGUGUGUUAGUGCCAUUUUUAGACACUGCCACUGGAAUUCACUUUUGUGACAAAAUUAAAAAUACAUCCAACCUCAUUGCAUUUCUUCCUGUCCCCAAGUGUAUAACUGGAAGCCUGCCGACCUACUGUGGGAGAGGGCAAGUGGGAGAUGGAAUUAAUGAAAGGAGCCUACAACCGUAUCGCCAAGAUAACUUGGCAAUAUGAGUAUUGAUACUAUUGUUCUGUUGUCUGUUUUAGAGAAGUGAGUGUUUGCCUUAAAAGUCUUACUCCACCUCCCAGUAAAAGUUUAAUGCCAGCAAAGGAAAAAGAUGUUGUAAGUCAUGCAGAGUAUCUACCACAGCAGCACGCUAACGUACUAUUUUAAUCAAUGUACAAUCUGUAUAGAUUAUUUUUAAUGCAUCAUUAGGGAAAUUAUCUGAAGUUCACAACUUUUAAGAAACCCCAACCUGAGAUCUGUUUAUUCAUCUAGAUAUUUGUUCCCAAAGGAUCUCGCUGCUGGAGAAUUAGCAAGACUAGUCAACAGACACACACACAGCUUGACGCAACCAGCAAAGCCAGGCCUGUGUGAUGUCCAUCAUCUAUAUUUCCGUGAGCACUUGUGCAGGGAAGGGAGAAAGAAGGAAGGAAUGACGUGGGGCAAUAAGCAGGGCAGAGCAGUGCCUUAUGGCUCCAGCCACCAUUUGUAAGUAGGGAAAGGGAGCUUUUAUUAUUGUUUUACAUACAGCAGCUGUUAAACAUGAGUGCACCAUAUGACAAAAAUCUAGUUGCCAGUAUUAACCAGUAUAAUGAAGCUGAACAUUUGCCUUUUGAUUCAAGAUAUAUAAAAAUCAAAAUGCAAGAGCUAGCUAAUUAGAACUAAAGAUGCAGCUCACAUAGCAUUGAGGUAAUUGUUUGUUUGUGCAGAACAACACCCAUAUCUUCAAUUUAGGUCAGGCCAUCAAGAAGAGGAAAAGGACUGAAGGCUGAAGAUGAGAUGCUCUAUUUCACACAGUUGCCCUCUGGAAGGACUGGCAAAGGCAGUCACUUAAAUUAGGUACAGGUCAUCAGACAAGGUAUCUUAUCUAUUCCUAAGACAGGCAACUCCAGCAGUCCAAAUCCCUAUGGCCUUUACAACGACACAAUGAACUACAUCCUCAUGUACCUCUGUCAAUUCACAUUAGGUUCCUGGUGCCUUUUUUUUUUUUUUUUUUUUUUUUUUUUUUUUUUUUUUUUUUUUUUUUUUUUUUUUUUUAAGUGAUAUUUCAUGUACACUAUGACCCUAUAGCUCAUAGCCAGGGAAGUGCUCUGGUUUAUUUAUGACCUACUAACCCUAAAUUAUUUUUUAAUUAAAAAAAAUAUAGUCUGAAUGGUCUCAUAAGCCUGCAGAUCUGAAAUAAAACUUAAAAUAAAUUUGGCAUUUGUAACACAGCUAGCUAAGCCCACUAGGGGAUUAAAAAAAAAAAAAAAAAGAAAAGAAAACCAGAUGACAGAAGAUGAAAGCAUUUUUACCCUGCAUAACCUGCACACAUUGGGCAUCAGGGCUGUAAUGCAGGAUUACUUAUUUUGUACUUUGAACUAGUCUUAGUCCCCUUCAAUAUAGGUUAGGUAACCAAAAAUACUGAGGUUUUUCCACUAGGAGCAAGGGGAGAGAAACAUAAUAGUAAUCAGUGAAAAUAACCUUUAAUGCAUUUUGCCCAACCAUAACAUCUACAAAGCUCCUCUCCUUCCCUAAACCCCAUCCUAAGGGCCAGGCUUCUGACAGGCAAGACCCAAUCUGAAGUAUGAAGUUACAGAGGGAAGCAGGGAAUAAGAGCAUAGGAAUAAAUACUGAAAGAAGUGUUGUACAGAAAGCAAGCUUAUAACAGGGCUGAUGGUAAACAUGAGUGACCUUAAGCCAUGAAGUCUAUUCAUUUGGCUAGAACAAUGUUGAACACAUGCAGAUAAGUACAAAAGACUAUUGAGCUGAAGAGCCUUAUUCUCUCAUCGCUCAUGCUGGUGUAAACCAGAGCUCCUUCCCUAACAUCCAUGGAGUUACUGUGAUAAAGCCAGUACAAACAAAUGGAAAAUCCAGCUUCAGGGCUAAAGUAUUCAUCAGCAGCAGAUAUCCCAUGCUGCUGUGUCAGCAAAAAGGGGUUCGCUGCCACACUGCUUUGAAGUCGGAUACAUUCGUAAUCACAGGGCCAUUCCUAAACAAAAUAUGUCUAAUCUACCACAAAGGAGAGAUGUGGUUUAUCCCCUUCAUGUCUAGUUCUCCAAUAGGAUAUGUUAAUGACUUGCUGUCCUCUAGAUUCAUUUGACAGAAGAUACAGUUGAGUUAAUUGAUAAAAAGUAAUAAAAGCCUGUACACACAGAACAAUUAGUUGAAAGAAACAGCUAGGUGAAAGCGCUUGUCAUGGCAUUUCUUUACAGAAUUCAUGCAGGCAGCACACAUGAAUUGCAGUCUUUUGGUGCUGGUUCCCUUUAAGCUCUUUAACAAAGAGCAUUUAUAAAUUUUUUUUAAAAAAAAUCAUACAUUAAUAAAAAAAUCAGAGUACAAAACUACCUAGUCCUUUGGUAAAAUAUUUAAUAAACAGCAAUUCACAGAAGCCAAUGAAUCAGUCAGCUUCAGUGCAGCGAGCUAUACACAGCCCAAAGGAAAAGCACUCAGACCAACUGGCUUCAAGAGACUGAUCUGCGAGAGAAGUCAGCUCACGAUUGCGCAUAGUAAGUAAGGUAAAAUUCCCAGGUUACCAUGCUUGCUCUCCGAUCUGUCCUCUGAAAUCCUCCCCCCAGACGGGACAUCCUGUCUAUCACAUGGAAAUUACAGCACUACAUCUACUUGAGUUUUUUUUUUUUUUCUUCCUCUUUUGAAAAAGGACAAAUUAAUUGGAAAAUUCAAAAAGAUCGGAAAUGUGUGUUGUGCUAUUGUGGAAGUUAAGAAUGAGGACUUUAUAUCAAAAAAUUGAUCAUCGCAGAGUAAACAGCAUGCUGCCACUUAAAUUUAUGUCAAACCUUGACAAAAAUUCAUCCUUCUCCCUUCUGAAAACUAUAAUAACAGGUCCUGCAUGUGUGACAAUUUCUAAGACAAUAAAGGUCUUCUGUCUUUAAGAAGCUUAUUAAGAAAUUAAACCUUAAAAGCAAAUGUAGUUUUUCAUCAAUCCUAAACAAGCUUUAAUCCAAUUGAACCAUGUCAGCAAAAGACACUUCAGUCAGUUGGGCAGUCUCUAACUGGCAACACCGAUUCAUAAAAUUCUUAGCCAACUUUGAUAAAUUAGAGGAUUUUGUGUUUUGAUUUGCCAAAAAGUUCAGUUCUGAUGUAAUGGACAUAUCAGACCACAUCAAUCCAUUUCUGCCAGGAUGCCCAGCCUAUAGAGUUAGAACCUGAGUAAAUGAAAUAUCUUUUCUUUUCAUAGAGAAGCAGCUUGGAAAACUGCCAGCUCCUUGCCUGAAGAUCGAAAUAGGAUGGGCAGAGAAGGGUAUUGGUGUCGGUAAGAGAACAAUAACAGAAAUUGCAUCAUCUGUAUGAUUAAAGUCACUGUGUCAAUUUUGAUUUUCCCCCCUCCUUUCAGACAUUUAAGGAUGCUGUCAAGGCAAUGGAGUUCUGUUGUAGUGGUUGCUUCAGUGAACAUUCAACGCUGUCGGCCUUAACACCGAAGAUAGCAACCUAACCAGCACACGAGGUUUCUCCCCCACCCUGCCAAGCUUUACAAAAAAGGUCACAAUCAACAUUCAUUGCUGUCGGUGGGUUUAACUAUGUGGACAAGCUCACUGAACAAUGAAUGCAACUGUGGCCCCACAUUUUACAGGUGCUGUUAAGAGGAACAUCAUCUCUGAAAGCGGUAGUGAGAAGCAAGUUCUUCUUCUAUCCUAAUAUUUUCUGGUUGAAAAGUAGUCGAGGACAUUGACUUUUUUGCUUGUUGUUUUUAAGUGUGCUCGAGUCAGCUGACUGGGGGAUGGGGAAGGGAAGAAGCCAAACACGAACCCCCCACCAGACUGUCUUUUUCUGAAAAGCAGUGUCCUCCCCAGAGUUCAGACUCAUUCAAGCCAUAGGAAUUCAUAUUCAGUAUGUACGUGGAAAUAAAUGCUAGUAUGGGGAACUGUUGGUGUCUGUGCACUCCUAAGGACUCCGAGCACAGGAAGGAAAGAUAUUUAAGCCUCAUCUUAAUUAAGAUUACAACUUGGUACACAAAAAAAACCCCUCUGCUGUACUUGUCAAGACAAAAGUACAAAUGGGAACCAGAAAUCAAAAAUAUGGAUAAAAUGUUACAUCAAGUAAAGGAUUAAUUUUACAUUAAGCUUAUUUUAAGCACCUAAUAAACACUGUUAAACUGCAAACCUUAUUGGACUUGCCUCUUCUUUGUGUUCCAAGAUAAAGCAGGAAUAAAGAGCUGUCUAUUUGGUAGUAACAGUAAUUGAACAGUAGUUAAAUUGCAAAACUUACUGUAAGCUUUGGGUACCUAUGUCACAUUCUCAGAAUUUGACAGUAAUAUGAAAAUAAAAGUUUAAUUAAAGCACA
Molecule: long non-coding RNA, 14438 nt
Organism: Dromaius novaehollandiae (emu)
Lineage: Eukaryota; Metazoa; Chordata; Aves; Casuariiformes; Dromaiidae
Exons: 4
Source: RefSeq, a predicted model, not a curated record